GUGCACGCCGCAUCGACGCACCCCACACGAUGUAAGGGGCGGGGAGCUCCUAAGGACACAGACACUCACACAUCUCCCGCUCUCCCGGCACCUACCCACUGCUCGGCUCUUUAAGUGUGCUGGCUUUUAUCAUGGACCAGCUGUAUGAGGCGAUGCCGAUUCCAUCCUCUGCCGACGAUGAAGACGCGCUCGAGGCAUCCCGUUUGGACGUGAGUUCCCACUCCAGCGGCGCUAGCUCAACGUCCCGCAGCUGCACGCACAGCGCAGACGCAACAUCUCCGGUGUCGUCAGAUGCCGCUGGAGAAGCGCCUGUGGGUGACACGGACACUUUUGGCAAGGACCUUUAUGCAGCGCAGCACGGGCAGCGUCAGGGACACGGCAGACACCAGGAGGUCUUCACCACCUCGAGCUCGCCGCACGCGCUCUGCAAGUUUCUCGUGCAGCUGCUGCGCGUUGCAGAGGAUCUCCACUCCCGGCUGGAGUGCCUGUUAGCCGAAAAGGUUGCUUCCGUGUCAACCGCCGCACCUCACUCGCAGACGUCUCACCCCGAAAACGACAGUCGCGGAUGUCAGGCCAUCAGCGGCAGGGCGCGUGCGAGCCCCCAAAGACCUACCUUGGCGGCGUGCAAAGGCAUUGCCAAGCUCCGCAGCCGACUCCGUAAGGAGACGGCCAAUGUGCGACGUGCGGUAGAGGGACUCAGUGCGGCUGGGUGCACACAUGCGCCGACGUCUUCUACCUCACCCGACUCGCUCGUCGUGCCACCUGCCAUCUUCGAGGCGGCAGUGGCGUGUGCGCAGUGUAACUCCUUGUCACACUAUGACGUUAUUAUCACAUGCCUUGAGCGCGAACGUGACAUCACCGGGGUCUACGUGCCCGUGAGCGGUGACGUGGGACCGCCGCAGUAUGUGACCUCAGCUUCGGUGAACGGGUCGAACACCGCGCACAGGACCUCCUUCGGGGAGGACAUGCGCAUCGAGGUGGAUGUGGUCUCCAGCAGCGAGCACCGCUGGAUCAAGGUGAAGACGACUACGGCGCGCAACCUUGAGCUCGAGGCGGAGGCGCUGGACGUGAAUGGUGCCAGCCCUUUUACCGACAUGCUUCUCGCCCUCCUCGAGCGCGCGAAACGGACCUGCCUGCCGCACCGACGUGCCGCUCAGGUGGCCGUGGUGCUGCUCCACCCGCCGCCGCCCGCGCUGGAGAAGUUCUUUGCGGCGCACGGUGUUGUCUGGGCAUUGCGUUCAGUAGACCACACCGUGCAGGUGUCACGACGACGAAUUCGAGCACAAGGGCCGCCGGUGGCACCCACUCGGUCGGCCACCACCACCUGGCUUCCACCGCUGGCGCCGUCUCCUGCGGUUAUUUGCCUCGACACGACCGCGUUGGUCACGCUUUGCUCCCAGAGCUGCUACGAGGAUGGCCUGCCCCACAGUGUGCGGAUGGAGCGGCUGGCACCGUUCCGCGUAUUGCGAGAGCAGCAGCGCAAGGAAGUCGUCGAGUGCCGCGCCGUUGCGGAGGUGUUAGAGCCGGCGCUGCGUUCUCACACCGUCUGGUACACCAGAGAUGCACUGGAGCAGGUUAUACAGCAUGCCCUUCUGCUACAGUGCGACAACGCGGCGGCCGAUGCAGAGCCGUCUGUAGCUGUCAAGCAGCCCGCUCAGGCCAUCCCCGCAGCUCUCAUCGUGCCGACCGAGCUCGACUGGCUCGGACCUCUGGAGGCGGCGGCACGAGAGCGGUUCUCCGAUUCCGCGGACGAGAACGCACACGAAGGCACUGCCACAGCUACCGCAACCGCUGCGGCACCGUCUGCAGCAGUGCCUCUUGCCGAGUCAACUCUUCUGGUCGAGUAUAGUGACCGAGUUGAGAGAGCUGCCGCGUCUGCCUUGCCCUCACUGCAUCAGCAGCCCAACUGGGUCAUGGCGGAUAUCACGUACGAGGAGUUUAAGUGGAUCCUGGAGACGAUUGCGGGACCACGGGAAGUCGCGCGUGCUGCACGUCUGCUGCGCCUUGUGAGUGUGGUGGACACCACGUUUUUGCGACACCAUAUGUGCAGCGGAGGCGGCUACGACGGCGGCGAUGGCGCGCCAAGUGUUACCGGACGUGGCACAGCAGCACCGCACUCUUGUCCUUGGCCGCCCCCGCUGCCCAUCUUCACUUCUGUGGAGUAUCUCCGACUCAGCGGCAAGGUGUCCCUACGCAACAAGAUUGUCUUUGGCCUCGCCGACGCUGUCAACGCCAUCAUUGUUACCGCGAAUGAGCAGGUGUGCCACGCCGCUCGUGAGCAGGGCGUGCAUGUCGAGGCUUGCUUUCACCCUUCCCGCUCCCUUACGGAGCAGAAGAUGUACCGACUGCGGCGGCGUGACGGCCCUAGGAAACCCCCAGUUAUCACCCCCUAGCAGGCGUGGUGCGGAAGUGAGGAGUGCAUGCGCGGAGGGCGGGGGGAGGGCGCAAAGAAGGGCAGUUGGCACAGAGAAUGACGCGUCACCGGUGCUGGUGUGCUUCUUUUUCACCUUUGUGGCACACCAGGCCUUCUCUGUCUCUCUCUCCCUCCCCCCGACUUUGACGGCAUGCGCCGCGUGUUCAGGGGUAGCUUCCCAGAGCUUUUUCUAAUGGGGCAGACGUGAUCCUCUCUCUUUCUCGACACACGCACGCACAGUGAUGCGGUCGCGCUCACGAGCGCAUCUAAG
This 2684-nucleotide unclassified non-coding RNA is filed under the name Leishmania donovani. Its description in RNAcentral is "gene:LdHU3.25.0430(CDS-product:Protein_of_unknown _function_(DUF1308)_putative)". Lineage: Eukaryota; Euglenozoa; Kinetoplastea; Trypanosomatida; Trypanosomatidae. The record is from RNAcentral.